AAUUGUAACAAUAGAUUAUUCUCAGUUUCUUCAGACGUUCAUUAUAGUACUGAAAUGGAACUAUUUACUUUCAAAAUCAUUUCAAAUAUUCCAAUGCUUCGAAGAUACCACUAAUUGCUAAACAAAAAUAUCGAAACCAAUCAUUUCGACUGGCAGUUCAUCGCGUCAUCGUAUGGCAAGGGGUUAAAGUUGCAAAAACACGAUCCUCCGACUGUUCCGAGGUUUCCCUAGGUUCUCACAGACUACCAGUUAGAAAAGUGACGCACUUGUAGACCGUUGACGGGUGUUUAUCGAGCAGAGCGCCCUCGAAGGCCUCGUAGAUCCCCGGGUCUGUCAGUUUCUCCAGGUUCCCGGGCUGCGCCACGGACCCGAAAUAUCGCGAGUAGCUGGUGAAGUAAUCACCGUAAAAGUUCCUCGCCUCGUCAGUCAUCGAGUUCCUCAUCGCCUCGAAGUGUUCCGCUUGCCGCGCCAAUAUACUGCUCUCCCUGAAGAAAGAUCCUACAAGAAGACCAGGAAUAAAAGAAACGACCUUGACGCCAUACUUCUCGAGUUCGAGCCUAAUGGCGGUGGCCCAGGCGCCGAUCGCGGCCUUCGUCCCGCUGUAAGCGGCCACUCCAGGGAUCGGCUGGAUGUUACAGUGGCUCGAGAUAACGACAAUGCGGCUGGAGUGCGCUCGGAUCAUCGGCAUCAGUUCUCGAGUGAUCCUCAUCGUACCAAGGAAAUUCACUUCCACUUGACUCCUGAUCUGAUCCUCUGUUUGCCAUUCGAAUUCGCCGAAGAUCAUCACCGCGGCGUUAUUGACCAAGCACCGUAGCUCUGUGAACAGAUCGUUCCGAUACUCGUUCAUUUACGAUGUCUUAGUAAUGUUAAUUACAUAUUUCUCUGUCAAGAUAUUUCUUAUCGAAACAAUCCAACAGAAACUCGGAGUGCGAAGGGUCAACAAAUCCUCGGUUGUUAAUUUUCAAAGAAAAUUUCAUGGAACAGUCACUCUCAAUGAAAGAUACGUUAUCCUCGAUCAGAGUACUUCAGACUAAUUCUAUAUUUGACAACAAUAAUCUAUAUUUGAUAACAAUAAUCUAAAUUUGACACCCGUUGAUCCCGAUAUAUUUCAGAACAAAUAUUCGCAACACACAUUCGCACUUCCAUAAAUUCAAACCAAAUCCCCGACACACCUAUGCUCCUAAAAAACACCUGUACCCUCAAAAAUACUUCUCACUUUCAAUAAAGAAACUGUUCGAAGAGUUCAUCCAGGACUUAUCCUAGUGCGAAUUUACCUAAAUUCUCCCGCGCCAGGAGCGUUCGCACGGAGUCAGCGAAAUCAAUCACGCUGACAGGUUCCGUAACAUUCAGGGGGUAAACGAACGCGUCCGCCUCCCUCAAGUUUCUCGCCCCCAGACCGUCGUUCCGCAGCACGCCGGCGAUCACGGUCGCCCCCAGUUGCCGACAGUGAAGGGCCAAACUGUAACCCAACCCUGAAUCGCAGCCAGUCACGACGAUCGCCUGAUUCGCUCGUAUUUUAUCCCGGGACUUACACCAGGAGUACAAAUAAUUUCCACCUGAAACGAGGAAAUAUUGGACUCGGUUGUUGUUCGAUCGUUCGAGAUCAACGCUGCUGUUGUAUCUUGAUGUAUAAUGCGACUUGUUUGUCAGAUAGUUGAUAAGUAAUGUCAAUUUGAUCAAGGAAAUUGAAUAAUUAGCCGACAGGGAGGUGAUCGGCGAAUGGAAGAGAUCGAUGAUUGGAUGUAUUUGAUAGUUUAUUUGGGAUAAUUAAUAUUGGAACGUUGUUUGCGGAGUAGGUGGAAUUGUCAUUGACACUAGAACUACCGUUCAGAAUGACUAGUUUCGAGUUGUUUGUUUCGCAAUCAUUAAUAUCUUGAAAGCACUCAAUAUUUGAAAUGAUCUUGAAAAUAAACAGUUUCUUUUGAAUACUCCAAUGAAUAUCCGAAGAAACUAAAAAUAAUCUAUUGUCACAAUUUUUAUAGAGAUUACAUAUCAAUCGUAUUAAAUGCUCGGUAGUUCUAAUGUUAACCAUUUGACUGGGUUAAUGACAAUUUCAGGGUCUUUGCAAACACCAGGAAAGUGGCAAGCGAUCGCAUUCUUUCGUUUCAGUUCAGAAACUGAACGCUUUAUUUUUACACAAGAUUGUAAAUAUCGAUCGUUGUUCCAUUUCUAAGCAGGUGAUAAGAAGAAUGAAUAAUUAAGAGACAAGUAAAUAAAGUUACUUCGAUACGAACCGACAGAGUGACACUUUUAGUCAGCGCAGCGGAGAACCGCCAUUGCGCCGCUCGCCACUCGAGCGGUUAGGAAUAUUAUUCGAAGGAACUUUCAUUAAUCCUUUGCGAACGAAGUGCCAAACCUUCAACAGAUGAAGCUAAAUUAUACAUCAAUUGUAUAAUUGAUGGAACAAAAGGAAACUGCGUGCUGAUCUCUUGCUAUUCGACUUGAUGUUAGCGUGAGUUCUAUCAUGUCAGUGUUGAUCGAUGCAGUGGGUAUCACGAUUGCAACGAGUCAUCGACUUUUGUGCUGAUGUCUGAUCCGGAUAAGAGGAUAGUCGACCGAAUAUUUUUCUAAUGUAAUUAGUGCAAUUGGUGUGUUGGUGUAAAAUCUUCGCCACAAGUCGGACACAUUGGAAGGUAAGGGGUUGGUCUAACAAUGUUUAUCCUUACUUACCGAUGCAACACAGGGAAAUCGUCGACGCCGUGUAUUUGUGUCCCUUGUUCCACGAAUAAACAAGACUCAACAAGGUCGCUACAUCAACAGCGAGCAUCUUCGAGUGUCUUCUUAAGCACUUUGCUAAUCCCAUCGCCGAAUUGAAGCUCAACACUGGAACUACCAAAUGCGUCAAAAUCACCGAGUUCUGAAUUAUUCUUUUAUAAACGAAGCUUGAAAUAAUAUUGGAACUUUGAAAGGACAGAUACGUCCCUAAGAAAUGAAUUUAUCAGCAUGCGAACAGACUUAUCAAUCGAAACCUAAAUAGAUGAACUAAUUCCUAUAGGAAAAAUUAGAAAAUUCUUCUGAAGAUUCGACUGCUUGGUAGUUCUAGCAAAUCUAAUUGUAACACUGUCAACGUUCACACGGUGUACUCUAUAUUUUUUUAAACAAUAUCAUAAUCAAUGAGAAUAAAAUGACACGAUUGCAGUUCACAUUUCAAAUUCCUCACGUAUAGAUUAUUGUUUACCAGUAAAGAAGUCAAUUUCAAAUUGCAAAUGGCGCACAAGUCACAGCAGAUCUAAGGAUCGCAAAGAAAAACGGAAAUCGGAGAUUUUUAAUGAUUAA
Molecule: non-coding RNA, 3276 nt
Organism: Nomia melanderi (Alkali bee)
Lineage: Eukaryota; Metazoa; Arthropoda; Insecta; Hymenoptera; Halictidae
Source: RefSeq, a predicted model, not a curated record